GAGGAGGCAGCCACUUAUCGGCUUUCAGCACACUGAAGACAGUUUGGAGUGUUUACCAAGAUCUGGACUUUGGGUACACGAAACUCACAGCAUUCAACCACUCAUCACUUCUGUUUGAGUACAUGAAGAGCAGUGAUGGCAAGGUCUAUGAUUCCUUCACAAUCUCAAGAGAUUACAGAGAUGUUUUGGCCUGUGUUCAUGAUGGCUGUGAACCAACCACUUUGGCUACGUAAUCAAAGUUUCAUCUAAUCAAGCCGACUUAUUAGCUUGGAAAAGAGAUUAUCCAUUUAAUUAGUGAAGCUAUUCAGUUGUG
This 313-nucleotide long non-coding RNA is filed under the name Malus domestica (apple). RNAcentral describes it as "long non-coding RNA (MDOM_LNC006240)". The record is from RNAcentral. Lineage: Eukaryota; Viridiplantae; Streptophyta; Magnoliopsida; Rosales; Rosaceae.